ACGCUCGACACCUACGGGAGGCAGCAGUGGGGAAUAUUGCACAAUGGGGGAAACCCUGAUGCAGCGACGCCGCGUGGAGGAAGAAGGUCUUCGGAUUGUAAACUCCUGUUGUUGGGGAAAAAGNGGAUGGUACCCAACAAGGAAGUGACGGCUAACUACGUGUCAGCAGCCGCGGUAAUCUGAGCGGGCUGGCAAGC
RNAcentral lists this ribosomal RNA (197 nucleotides) under uncultured bacterium. RNAcentral's name for it is "partial 16S ribosomal RNA". It matches the Rfam family "Bacterial small subunit ribosomal RNA", at positions 328 to 539 of the family's 1533-position model. The record is from RNAcentral.